RNAcentral lists this unclassified non-coding RNA (804 nucleotides) under Zea mays. Its description in RNAcentral is "misc RNA Zm00001eb269790". Lineage: Eukaryota; Viridiplantae; Streptophyta; Magnoliopsida; Poales; Poaceae. The record is from RNAcentral.
CUGCACACCCAACCCCUACCCUUUCAUCCUCACCGUGAAUCGACGGCGGCAUGGGCGCCAUGAUCGUGCGCACGGAGGGGUGCAAAUCCUGCUUCUUCUCCUACCAUGGUCAGUGACGCCGGAUCUGGCAGUUUCCAGGUCCACCCGUGAUUGUAUAUCCUACAAUGUUGCUUCCCUUUAUUUUUUAAAUCCUACCGAUUCUGGUCAUAAUUAUGUUUUUGUGAGGUGGUGGAGGAUUUCUGUGGAAAAGGCAAACUUCCUGUUGAUGGAGAUGGCAGUGACUGGUUGUCAUUCCAACUUAGUGAUGUUAAGGUUCUUGUGAAUGAAAUUACUUCUGUUCUGUUGAAAAGGAUAUUGCAUGAGGUUCCUAUGGAUAUAGUUACAAGGUUAUUGGAUGUUCUCAAGGUUUGUCGAUAGAUGUGAAGGAAAAUGUUUUCUCUGCUUUGGAGUCCAGUCAUACUACCAUGGCAAUUAUGACCCACCAUGAUAACAAACAACUAGCCAACAGGCGCAUGCGUGGUCCCUGGCCCCCUCCAAGCGGCCACAGGCUCCCUCAACGUCGCGCCUGGCAGUUGGUGGAAUGGGUUCUUCGCCGAUGUCGAAGCCGAGGAAACUUGCCAUACAUUUCCCUUCCAGAAUCAAACUUCACAGGCAUCAAGUUCAGUCCCGGGCAACAACAUUACUGCUAUGACCUCAUUAGUCUCGUGUGCAAUUCUAGAAACUGGCACAGAUGAUCAGCAAUGUGCUACUAAUGGUUGGAAAGCGGAACUUGAUAUACUCUUUUGUAAUGUCCAAAUAUACCGC